AGAGACGCUAGGCCGGCACUGCCUAGGUGGGCCGGGCGGUGCGAGGGUCGCCUUUCAGCCUUUACCUCUACCCACUGAAAUGGAGUAGGUCGGUGAGCGCCGAUCUGCUGGAGAAUCUCAUUAUCCCAUCGGCGCUCUGCCUGCUCCUGGCCUCCAAGCCUCUGAAGCCCCUCGGGUUUCAGCUGCCGGCUACCCUCGAGCCCGUGGUGCCCACGAGAGAGGCGACUUUACGUCAGCGGCCCUGGGCUGAGAUUUGAGAACGCGACCAAGUGGAGAAUGUUGGAGCCAGAUUUUAAAAUCCUUGUCUUCCUUCUGCGUGCUACUUGAUCUAAAUGAGAUACGGCAAAGUCACAGAACCUGUUUUUAUGUUUUUGCCUGAUUCAUACGGGCUUCUCCGGUGAAGAUGGGCCUGAAGUAACGCUUGGGUUGCUUCUGACGUUAUAACUCAUCCUGUAGCUGCAGCAACCGUGGUCCUUGCAACCUCAUAAAAAUGUUGCCAGCAUUGUUUCGAUAGUGCUGCUUAAUUCUUGGAAGGCCUCUUUGCUUUCUUCCCUGAGGUUCUUCGGACUUCACACAUUCCAGCAGUAGCUCUCUCAGCUCCUGUCCUGCACAGCUUUGAAGUGCUGCGUCUUCAAAGUGUCUUCUGUAAAGACUUCUUCAGACUGUCAAUAGGAAGACUGAUAAACUCAGGUGUCUUUGUGAAGCUUCCUAUCUUUGCUUUUCAACUAAGAUGAAACAGCAUUUAAAAGAAAAUGCCAUGUGAGAUGAGAUCAGGAGAAUGGAUUCUUUCUUUCAUCUGAAUAGAGAGCUGCUGUUCGAGAUUCUAACUCAAAUAGCUCAAAGGACACCUUCUCCGGGAAACCUUCCCUGACUUCCGACGCUGUUUCCUGUUGCUUUCUGUCUGUGGGUGUUACAUAUUUUUCCCUUCUUCAACUAACCGUGUCUGAGCAGGACAGCUGACCUUCAAAAGUAAAUAUGAUUAAAGCUGAACAAAUCAGAUGCUGAAACAGAAGGACGCAGACUGGCAGCGGCCCACAAACACAUGCCUUUCAUAGUGCAAACUUACUUUUAUGGGAUGUUGAUGUUGUUUUUUAAUGGAUGCUCAAGCUUCGGAUACAUGAACGAAAAUCAUUUUAAAUAAAAACAAAAAGAAAGGGGUUUUUCCAUCUCUACACUACACAUUGGAUUUUCUACACAGAAGCUGUACGUGAAGGAUCAAAGCUCAUUCCUGCAUUCCAGCAAGCAAUUUCUACAAGUGCAUCUACAUUUCUGUGACAAUCCGCUUCUCCUAACCCUUCCCAUCAUCCAGUGAAGUAUUAGCAUGUGAAAAAUUGCAUCUGUCAGAAAUGUAAAAAUAAUCAUGCCCACCUUGGUCUUUUCUAUUUAAUAAUUUGGGCCAUGGAUUGGUAACCUUUGUUUUGCUUACUGUGCAGUCACAAAUUACUUUUAUAGAUCAAGAGAACUUGAACUUUCAAAAGUGCUGUUUUAGCUUAAAAUGUUAUGAUUUAGAUAUUCUGUUUAUAUAUGAAGAAACUAGUGACGAAUAUAGUAAGCAUUUUUUUUCAUUCUUCACUUAAAUUGUUGCCUUAACAUAGGGUUUCUUCUUUUAAAAUAGUAGCAAACUUAUAGAAGACUGUUUAACUGCAUAUGUGGGUACUAUGCAGUCAAUUAGCCAUAGAAGAAAUAAUACAGGACUUCCAAAGUAAUGCCAAUGGUCUAUAAUCUCGUCACGUUACAAUGUCUAUCACUUAAUGUAUGUGGAUUUUAGGGGACUCAUUUGGGAUCUUUAAAUCAUAUUCAAUUCUCUAUUAUGAUACUUGGGAAGUUAAAUAAUCAUGUUGUUUUCCAUUAAACUAGAAAAAGCUAAUGUAUUUUCAAAUAGCAAUGGAAAGGUGACAUGAGAUAAGCCUUUUAGAUUACUAUUGUUUUUCCUAGGUUACUGGCCUAAAAAGAAAUAGAAAGUUUAUACAAAUGUGGAAAGAAUGCCUACCAGAUAAACUAUUGUUCAUAUCUACAGUUUAUUAUUUGAUAAUUUCCAAUUUAACUUAGUCUUUUGACUUAGCUUUUUUUAGUCAUUGCAGGCUUUAAUAUUUGAUAACUGGUUCAGUGUCACAAAAUAGUUUCUUCAUAUAAAAGCAAUUUUAUAUGAUA
Long non-coding RNA from Homo sapiens (human), 2151 nucleotides. Ensembl annotates it as hepatocellular carcinoma up-regulated long non-coding RNA. Its record names the gene HULC. NCBI's taxonomy places the organism in Eukaryota, Metazoa, Chordata, Mammalia, Primates, Hominidae. The record is from Ensembl.